This 75-nucleotide transfer RNA is filed under the name Ruminococcus sp. RNAcentral describes it as "tRNA-OTHER". The record is from RNAcentral. Lineage: Bacteria; Bacillati; Bacillota; Clostridia; Eubacteriales; Oscillospiraceae.
GGAGGGGUGGGGGUCGUGUGGCGCAGCGCCCCACUGGGGAGGGGAGGGGGAGGUCACUCCUCCUCCCCUCCCCCA